This is a long non-coding RNA of Harpia harpyja (harpy eagle), 293 nucleotides long. RefSeq lists it as uncharacterized. The transcript is spliced from 3 exons. The record is from RefSeq and is a predicted model, not a curated record. Lineage: Eukaryota; Metazoa; Chordata; Aves; Accipitriformes; Accipitridae.
AGCACCAGCCUGCGUCACAGCUGUGCCAAAUCUGGAGUCAGACCAGGCAGGGUAGCUCACCUGUUGCUGAUAACACCUAACGGCAGAUUUCUAGGAGGGUGCAUGGUACAUGUCCUGUUUCUGAAGAGGCCUCUGGUGUUACCUCCCAACGACUGACAGAUGGGUGCACUAAGACUGCUAAUACAAUGGAAGAAGCAAAAAUGGGAAGAGAGGUUGAGGGGACUGCACAAAAUGGAAAAAUCUCGUUCUGCAGACCAGGCCUACCCAGUGACAUUAAUUUCUACCUUCAGUCU